Molecule: microRNA precursor, 91 nt
Organism: Petromyzon marinus (sea lamprey)
Lineage: Eukaryota; Metazoa; Chordata; Hyperoartia; Petromyzontiformes; Petromyzontidae
Gene: pma-mir-20a
Product: pma-mir-20a
Source: Ensembl
CUGCCCACAGGGUGCCAAAGUGCUUAUAGUGCAGGUAGUUGAUCUUAGUCUACUGCAUUUUGAGCACUUGUAGCACCAGGUGUGGAAAAAC